GGUUCAAUAGUGUAAUGGUUAUCAUGUCUGGUUUACAUGCAGAAGGUCCUGGAUUCAAGCCCCAGUGGAACCA
RNAcentral lists this transfer RNA (73 nucleotides) under Pangasianodon gigas (Mekong giant catfish). Its description in RNAcentral is "tRNA-Val". It matches the Rfam family "tRNA". From Rfam's summary of the family: Transfer RNA (tRNA) molecules are approximately 80 nucleotides in length. Their secondary structure includes four short double-helical elements and three loops (D, anti-codon, and T loops). RNAcentral also lists the same sequence under 1 other name. The record is from RNAcentral. Lineage: Eukaryota; Metazoa; Chordata; Actinopteri; Siluriformes; Pangasiidae.